This 584-nucleotide ribosomal RNA is filed under the name Limopsis marionensis. RNAcentral describes it as "partial 28S ribosomal RNA". It matches the Rfam family "Eukaryotic large subunit ribosomal RNA", at positions 378 to 783 of the family's 3401-position model. Lineage: Eukaryota; Metazoa; Mollusca; Bivalvia; Arcoida; Limopsidae. The record is from RNAcentral.
GAAGAGAGAGUUCAAGAGUACGUGAAACCGCUUAGAGGCAAACGGGUGGAUCCGCAAAGUCGGCCCGGGGAAUUCAACUUACCGUUGGCGCGGUCUGCGUGAUUCUGGAUCCGCAAAGACCUGCACGUAGUUCGGCCGCCACCGGUGUGUGCACUUUCCUCGGGUAGAGCGCCACGACCGGUUUUCCGGCGUCAGAAGCCGGUGUGAAAGGUGACCACCUCUUCGGAGGGGGUGUUAUAGCCACGCCGCGUUGGCUCGCUGGGAGACCGAGGAACUGCCGUGCCUGCCUGCCUUCGGCUGUCGUUGUUCGAUCAAAUUGAGUAGACUGCUUGCAGUGUUCUCUAAGCGCGGAUGGCGAUCGGCUGGAGCGCACAAGGUACUUCGGGUCAGUGGCGAAUCGGUCGGCCCUCCACCCGACCCGUCUUGAAACACGGACCAAGGAGUCUAACAUGUGCGCAAGUCAUGGGGUUUUACGAAACCUAAAAAGGCACAAUGAAAGUGAAGGCAGCCUCGGGUUUGCCUAGGUAGGAUCCUUCCUUCCGGGGGGAGGCGCACUACCGGCCCGUCUCGUCCGCAUUGUCGGU